AGCAGCCGCGGUAAUUCCAGCUCCAAUAGCGUAUAUUAAAGUUGUUGCAGUUAAAAAGCUCGUAGUUGAAUUUCGGGGUUCUACCGUUGGUCGGGCUUUGUCUGUACUGGCGUGUAGAAUUUCUACCUUCUGGGGAACCAUCAUGUUAUUAAUUUAACGUGGUGGGAAACCAGGACCUUUACCUUGAAAAAAUUAGAGUGUUCAAAGCAGGCUUAUGUCUGAAUACAUUAGCAUGGAAUAAUAGAAUAGGACGGUGGUCCUGUUUUGUUGGUUUCUGAAUCACCGUAAUGAUUAAUAGGGAUAGUUGGGGGCAUUAGUAUUCAAUUGUCAGAGGUGAAAUUCUUGGAUUUAUUGAAGACUAACUUCUGCGAAAGCAUUUGCCAAGGAUGUUUUCAUUAAUCAAGAACGAAAGUUAGGGGAUCGAAGACGAUCAGAUACCGUCGUAGUCUUAACCAUAAACUGUGCCGACUAGGGAUCGGACGAUGUUAAUUUUUCUUGACUCGUUCGGCGCCUUACGGGA
This 520-nucleotide ribosomal RNA is filed under the name uncultured Scutellospora. RNAcentral's name for it is "SSU rRNA". It matches the Rfam family "Eukaryotic small subunit ribosomal RNA", at positions 569 to 1095 of the family's 1831-position model. Lineage: Eukaryota; Fungi; Glomeromycota; Glomeromycetes; Diversisporales; Gigasporaceae. The record is from RNAcentral.